GACGAACGCUGGCGGCGUGCUUAACACAUGCAAGUCGAACGAAGAGCGACGGAAGCUUGCUUCUAUCAAUCUUAGUGGCGAACGGGUGAGUAACGCGUAAUCAACCUGCCCUUCAGAGGGGGACAACAGUUGGAAACGACUGCUAAUACCGCAUACGAUCUAACCUCGGCAUCGAGGAUAGAUGAAAGGUGGCCUCUACAUGUAAGCUAUCACUGAAGGAGGGGAUUGCGUCUGAUUAGCUAGAUGGAGGGGUAACGGCCCACCAAGGCGAGGAUCAGUAGCCGGUAUGAGAGGAUGAACGGCCACAUUGGGACUGAGACACGGCCCAGACUCCUACGGGAGGCAGCAGGGGGGAAUCUUCCGCAAUGGACGAAAGUCUGACGGAGCAACGCCGCGUGAGGGAUGACGGCCUUCGGGUUGUAAAGCUCUGUUAAUCGGGACGAAAGGCCUUCUUGCGAAUAGUGAGAAGGAUUGACGGUACCGGAAGAGAAAGCCACGGCUAACUACGUG
Molecule: ribosomal RNA, 510 nt
Filed under: uncultured bacterium
Lineage: Bacteria
Description: partial 16S ribosomal RNA
Rfam family: Bacterial small subunit ribosomal RNA
Source: RNAcentral